This 377-nucleotide unclassified non-coding RNA is filed under the name Hevea brasiliensis (rubber tree). Lineage: Eukaryota; Viridiplantae; Streptophyta; Magnoliopsida; Malpighiales; Euphorbiaceae. The record is from RNAcentral.
AAAACAAUCAAGAAGCUUAGCUUCUCCUACAGUGAGUAUCCCUCUAGGCCUACACUUCCUCUUGUCAGUGACCCCCGACACAACAUGGCCAGCACCAUAACAAACUGGGGUGAUUGUUUUCGUUGUCGCNNAUCAUAGAUGACCCGCAUUGUAUCUCUGGAGAUACUGAGGCCUGAACUGGAGGCGUCUUACUAUUACUACUUGUUGUGUUUGUGUUAAUAUUAGUUUUAGUGUUUGAUUUCUCGUCAUCACCAUCCUCAUUUCUAACCUUAUUGUCGACUACGAGAUUCAAACCCGACCCAUAUGCCACCUUAUUUAAAGAAGUCGAAUUUGAUCCAUCACAGUCUCUAACUCCAUCAACUACUACCUGUUUCAAC